GGAGUGUUGGCUCAAUUGGCACAGCAGCGGUCUUGAAAACCGCCAUUCCGAAAGGAUAUCUGAGUUCGAAUCUCAGGCACUCCG
RNAcentral lists this transfer RNA (84 nucleotides) under Agathobacter rectalis M104/1. Its description in RNAcentral is "tRNA-Ser (TGA) (tRNA-Ser-TGA-2-1)". It matches the Rfam family "tRNA". From Rfam's summary of the family: Transfer RNA (tRNA) molecules are approximately 80 nucleotides in length. Their secondary structure includes four short double-helical elements and three loops (D, anti-codon, and T loops). Further hydrogen bonds mediate the characteristic L-shaped molecular structure. tRNAs have two regions of fundamental functional importance: the anti-codon, which is responsible for specific mRNA codon recognition, and the 3' end, to which the tRNAs corresponding amino acid is attached (by aminoacyl-tRNA synthetases). tRNAs cope with the degeneracy of the genetic code in two manners: having more than one tRNA (with a specific anti-codon) for a particular amino acid; and 'wobble' base-pairing, i.e. permitting non-standard base-pairing at the 3rd anti-codon position. The record is from RNAcentral. Lineage: Bacteria; Bacillati; Bacillota; Clostridia; Lachnospirales; Lachnospiraceae.